Molecule: long non-coding RNA, 390 nt
Organism: Scylla paramamosain (green mud crab)
Lineage: Eukaryota; Metazoa; Arthropoda; Malacostraca; Decapoda; Portunidae
Exons: 3
Source: RefSeq, a predicted model, not a curated record
UGUAAGGCCAAAGCCAAACAAAAGCCAUAGAAAGUACAAGUGUCAGGGGAGAAAUCAGUCCCGAGGUCGAGGACAGACCAUUUUUCGCGCCCAAAAUCAGUGGUUGAAAAUGAGCAGCAAGAACGACAUGAAUCGCCGCAUUGCUGCGGUCGCCAAGAAGAAACGCUCCAAAAAGCCAAAAAACAAUAGGCCUCCCCCCAACAAGGCCAAAGAGACCAAUGACAACAACUCGGCCAGGGGAAGCUCCCCCGCGGCUGUCCAGUCAGAGAGGGCGCCCACACCUCCUCCUCCUCCCCCUCCUGCUCCCAAGCCUGUUUUGGUCAGGUACAGUACGUGUGGCGACCCUGAUUUUGGCGUGGCAUUUGAUAACGAUGUAACUGACACCUCCUA